This is a long non-coding RNA of Mercenaria mercenaria, 2341 nucleotides long. RefSeq lists it as uncharacterized. Lineage: Eukaryota; Metazoa; Mollusca; Bivalvia; Venerida; Veneridae. The transcript is spliced from 3 exons. The record is from RefSeq and is a predicted model, not a curated record.
UCGGCGUUACGUCAUUUUAGAAAACAUCGAUUAAAGUUACGUCACAAAAAAAAAUGGUGGACGUUACCACGUGUUCGCGGCAAUUAAUGCAUUUCUUGUUUUCAAUAAUACUCUACCUUGCCACAAGAAAAAAAUGAAGUGACAUUUAUAAACAUUUCCAUGUUUUGCAAUUCCGUUUUUGUUAAAAUUUUUAAAUGAUUGAUAAUUUAUCGCCCUUUGAAUCGACACGCCAUUUGUAAACAUGGAAGGUCGCGGAGAAAAUGAAACUACCAAAAACAAUUAUUUGAUGAUUUAUUUCGAUUGUAUAAAGAAUGACAGUAAGCGAAUCUCAAGAUCAACCACUGAGGAUUGUUUGGCUUGAUGCAAUGACCUUAAACAGUGAAAUGAUUUUCCAGGAAGGUCUAUACACAACAAGCUGGAUUUUAUUGGGUGAUGAAAGACCUAUCAAUAUGUAAAUGGGAAUGAAACAGAAGGAAUUAAUAUGUUCUACUGAUCAUCCAGCUGAAAUCAUGCCUGUGGAAUAGAGUGCAUGUCACAAAUACUUAUAUGAGCAAAUAACUCCAUAUUGCAGAAAUAAGGUCAUGUUUCCUGCCCUCAUGACCUGAAAAAGUUAAAAAUUCUAGUUCAAAUAACAAAUGUGUUUCAAGAAAAAGUAAAACUUAGUCAACUGUGAGAAAUAUUGGGUAAAAGUAGUGUUUUGAUGUCAUGACAGCUGUAAAGUUAUUUGAGAAGCACUAUCCUAAUUGUUCUAACAAUACAGAAUUUAAAUUUUCCAAAACUGCAUGCAUGAAAAUACUAAGACAUGUCUGUUGAAUGGAUCUUAGUUGUUUCAAAACUACAACAUGUGUGACAUUAAAGCACAACCUUUGGAGGAAACAUUUUUACAAUAAAAACUACCUUGCUAGUGUGAGUGUAGGGAGAAUUUUUCCAGAAAUUGCAGAAAACUACCAAUAUAGCAGAAAAUAUUUGUUACUGGCUGAAUAUAAUAUAUUUUAUUUCAAGAAUUAAUCAUGUUAAUCCAUGGUUAUAAUUGUGUUAAAAUAUAUUUUUACAUGACAUGACCUUUGCAGAAAUAGCUAUUUUUUUGUAAAACAUUGUGAGUUGCCAUGGUAACACAAAUUUGACUUAAAUUUAGAUUUGUUUGAUUAUGUAAACAGCAUGUGUCUUGUUUAUAUUCUGCUAAUCAGACUAUGUUCUGCAAGAAAAUAUCUUUUAUGUGUAAACAUCAACAAAACAUGUUAUAACACAAAUCUGCCAUAAAAUGGCAGAGCUGUAAUGCAGGUAGGCAUAUCAGAAAAAUAUGUAGUUCUCAAAGACAAGUUAUAUUACAUAAAAUGAUGUUUGUUUUUUUAUAAAUGAUCAUAAUUGACCAUUUGUGGUGUAAAACAAAUGUAUACUGAACAGAUGCUAAAUGAAUGUUCUGAUUCUUUCUGGAAAAUUUACAAAAAACUACUAUUUUAAGAAGAUAGUGCAUUGUUGCCAUGGUAACAUUAAUUUAACUUUUAAAUUAUUUUGGAUAUCAUCAUAUGUAAAAAACAUCUUUCUUGUUUAUAUGUUAUAUAUGUUAAGCUGUAUUAUGUUAGUGACAUAUUUUCAUAUGUAAUAAUUGCAUCAACAAAGCACUAUGUUAUUACAUAAGCCUGCCUUAAAAUGGCAAUAGUUGUAACUGAGAGAGGUGUAUCUGAAAAUUAUGUAUUUCUCAAACCAUAUUACAUUAAUUUUCAUGGAGUGAUGUCUACUCUCUUACUUUUAAAUAAGAAAAUAUACAGUUUUUGAUGUAAAUAUAUGGAAAAACACUUCCAAUAUUCAAUUUAUUACAAAGAAAUUGCCAAAAAUGUUAGUAUUUUUGUAAGAAAAUAUCACAUUGUUGCCAUGGUAAUGUUAGUAUUUUUGUAAGAAAAUACCACAUCGUUGCCAUGGUAAUGAUUCACUGAUCAGUAUAUCUAAGUCUUUUGAAAUUUUAGCAAACUCACAGUUGAUAACAACAGUCUAAUAAUUAUAUCUUCUUGCCUGAUUUUCUUUCUUACUGUUUAGUUUAAUAGAUAAGGUGUCUAUAAUAACAAGAUCAAUGUCCUAGUUUUUGGGAUGUUGUCUAAUUUGAUAUCAAAUAAAUUCUGUAUCUUGUUCAAAAGAAUGUUAUAAAACAGUUGUCUGUAAACUGUUUGCACACUAGAAAAAGUGAAUUGUGUAUUUAUUUCACAUUCUAUGUAAUUUACUGCUAGAUUCAUCAAGAGACUGUUAAAAAAGAGGUUAAACAACAGUGUUGCUAUAGAAACGAUUUUUAGAACAUAAAUAUUUUUAUACUACAUGAAAGAAAGAGACAAAAAGAAAUACAUUCCAU